GGGCUUGUAGCUCAGUUGGUAGAGCGCUGUCAUCGCACGGCAGAGGUCAGGGGUUCGAUUCCCCUCAAGUCCA
Molecule: transfer RNA, 73 nt
Filed under: Minisyncoccota bacterium
Lineage: Bacteria; Bacillati; Minisyncoccota
Description: tRNA-Ala
Rfam family: tRNA
About the family: Transfer RNA (tRNA) molecules are approximately 80 nucleotides in length. Their secondary structure includes four short double-helical elements and three loops (D, anti-codon, and T loops). Further hydrogen bonds mediate the characteristic L-shaped molecular structure. tRNAs have two regions of fundamental functional importance: the anti-codon, which is responsible for specific mRNA codon recognition, and the 3' end, to which the tRNAs corresponding amino acid is attached (by aminoacyl-tRNA synthetases). tRNAs cope with the degeneracy of the genetic code in two manners: having more than one tRNA (with a specific anti-codon) for a particular amino acid; and 'wobble' base-pairing, i.e. permitting non-standard base-pairing at the 3rd anti-codon position.
Source: RNAcentral